AGUACGAGAUGCUACGACAUCGAAGCAGUCUAUGUCAUACUUCCAAGAAAAGCUUGCACUGUCAUAAACAAAGAAUGCCUGUACCAUAACCGACACAGGUGGGUAGGUAGAGUAUACUAAGGGGCGCGAGAUAACUCUCUCUAAGGAACUCGGCAAAAUGACUCCGUAACUUCGGGAGAAGGAGUGCCUUAUUUCUAAGGUUGCAAUAACAAGAUCCAAGCAACUGUUUACCAAAAACACAGGUCUCCGCUAAGUCGUAAGACGAUGUAUGGGGGCUGACGCCUGCCCAGUGCCAGAAGGUUAAAGAAGUUGGUUAGCAUUAGCGAAGCUGAUAACUGAAGCCCUGGUGAACGGCGGCCGUAACAAUAACGGUCCUAAGGUAGCGAAAUUCCUUGUCGGGUAAGUUCCGACCCGCACGAAAGGCGUAAUGAUUUGGAUACUGUCUCGGAGAGGGGCUCGGUGAAAUAGACUUGUCUGUGAAGAUGCGGACUACCUGCACCUGGACAGAAAGACCCUAUGAAGCUUUACUGUAACUUGAGAUUGAAAUUGGACUUUAUUUGCGCAGUAUAGGUGGGAGGCGUUGAGAAUAAUCUUGCGGGAUUGUUGGAGCCAUCAGUGAGAUACCACUCUUGUAUGUUAGAUUUCUAACUUUGUAUCAUUAUCUGGUCAAAGAACAGUUUCAGGCGGGCAGUUUGACUGGGGCGGUCGCCUCCCAAAGGGUAACGGAGGCGCACAAAGGUUUCCUCUGAACGGGUAGAAAUCGUAUCUAGAGUGUAAAGGCAUAAGGAAGCUUGACUGUGAGACCUACAAGUCGAGCAGGGACGAAAGUCGGUCUUAGUGAUCUGACGGUGCUGAGUGGAAAGGCCGUCACUCAACGGAUAAAAGUUACUCUAAGGAUAACAGGCUGAUCUCCCCCAAGAGUUCACAUCGACGGGGAGGUUUGGCACCUCGAUGUCGGCUCAUCGCAUCCUGGGGCGGUAGUCCGUCCCAAGGGUUGGGCUGUUCGCCCAUGAAAGCGGUACGCGAGCUGGGUUCAGAACGUCGUGAGACAGUUCGGUCCAUAUCCGGUGUAGGCGUUAGAAUAUUGAGAGGAGCCUUCUCUAGUACGAGAGGACCGAGAAGGACAUACCUCUGGUGUACCAGUUAUCGUGCCAACGGUAAACGCUGGGUAGCUAUGUAUGGAGUGGAUAACCGCUGAAAGCAUCUAAGUGGGAAGCCCACCUCAAGAUAAGUAUUC
Molecule: ribosomal RNA, 1237 nt
Filed under: metagenome
Description: bacterial LSU rRNA
Rfam family: Bacterial large subunit ribosomal RNA
Source: RNAcentral